GUGCUGGUUUCAGCAGCACAUAUACAAAAAUUGGAACAAUGUAGAGAUUAGCAUGGCUCCUGCACAAGGAUAACAUGAAAAUUCAUGAAGUGUUCCAUAUUUUG
This 104-nucleotide small nuclear RNA is filed under the name Sciurus vulgaris (Eurasian red squirrel). Lineage: Eukaryota; Metazoa; Chordata; Mammalia; Rodentia; Sciuridae. The record is from RNAcentral.